This 440-nucleotide ribosomal RNA is filed under the name uncultured bacterium. RNAcentral's name for it is "partial 16S ribosomal RNA". It matches the Rfam family "Bacterial small subunit ribosomal RNA", at positions 338 to 795 of the family's 1533-position model. The record is from RNAcentral.
CCUACGGGAGGCUGCAGUGGGGAAUAUUGCACAAUGGGGGAAACCCUGAUGCAGCGACGCCGCGUGAGUGAAGAAGUAAUUCGUUAUGUAAAGCUCUAUCAGCAGGGAAGAAAAUGACGGUACCUGAGUAAGAAGCCCCGGCUAACUACGUGCCAGCAGCCGCGGUAAUACGUAGGGGGCAAGCGUUAUCCGGAUUUACUGGGUGUAAAGGGAGCGUAGACGGCAGUGCAAGUCUGGAGUGAAAGGCGGGGGCUCAACCCCCGGACUGCUCUGGAAACUGUACGGCUGGAGUGCAGGAGAGGUAAGUGGAAUGCCUAGUGUAGCGGUGAGAUGCGUAGAUAUCAGGAGGAACACCGGUGGCGAAGGCGGCCUGCUGGACUGCGACUGACGUUGAGGCCCGAAAGCGUGGGGAGCAAACAGGAUUAGAUACCCUUGUAGUC